CUAGGAUGUUGGCUUGGAAGCAGCCAUUCAUUUAAAGAGUGCGUAACAGCUCACUGGUCGAGCGGUUCUGCAUGGAGAAUAAGCGGGCAUAAGCGUAUUACCGAAGCUAUGGCAGAUAACAAUCUGGGUAGGGGAGCAUUCCGUACAGCGCAGAAUCGGUAUUGUAAAGUACCGUGGAGCGUACGGAAAAGCAAAUGUAGGAAUAAGUAACGAUAAAGCGGGCGAGAAACCCGCUCACCGAAAGACCAAGGGUUCCCCGGCUAUGUUAAUCAGCCGGGGGUCAGUCGGGCCCUAAGGACAAGCCGAAAACAGGCUACUCCGAUGGACAAACGUUUAAUAUUACGUUACUCGUAUCGAGUGCGACGGGGCGACCUGGUAAUACCUCUUCGCGUGCUGACGGAAUAGCACGUUAAAGACUUUACUGGGCCGGGAGGCAAAUCCCCCGGCGGAAAGGUAAAGUUGAUAGUACACCCAAGCUACGGCGACGGUGAUAGCAAGACUAAAGAUCAGCAAGAAAAACCUCUAAGCUUCAGCUCGAUACGACCCGUACCGGAAACCGACACAGGUGGUCGAGAAGAGAAUUCUAAGGUGCUCGAGAGAUUCAUGGCUAAGGAACUAGGCAAAAUAGACCUGUAACUUCGGGAAAAAGGUCACCGCAGCAAUGCGGUCUCAGAAAAUAGGUCCAGGCGACUGUUUAACAAAAACACAGGACUUUGCAAAAUCGAAAGAUGACGUAUAAGGUCUGACACCUGCCCGGUGCUGGAAGGUUAAGAGGAGAUGUCCGCAGCAAUGCAAAGCAUUGAAUUGAAGCCCCAGUAAACGGCGGCCGUAACUAUAACGGUCCUAAGGUAGCGAAAUUCCUUGUCGGGUAAGUUCCGACCUGCACGAAUGGUGUAACGAUCUGGACACUGUCUCAGCCAUGAGCUCGGUGAAAUUGUAGUAUCGGUGAAGAUGCCGAUUACCCGCUGCGGGACGAAAAGACCCCGUGAACCUUCACUACAACUUAAUAUUGUUUUCGGGUAAGUCAUGCGUAGGAUAGGUGGGAGGCUGCGAAGCGGUUACUCCGGUAGUCGUGGAGCCACUGUUGAAAUACCACCCUUGACUUAUUUGGGAACUAACUCCGCGGAAUGCGGAGGACACUAUUUGGUGGGUAGUUUGACUGGGGUGGUCGCCUCCAAAAUAGUAACGGAGGCUUCCAAAGCUGCCCUCAGCACGCUUGGUCAUCGUGCGUAGAGUGCAUUAGCAAAAGGGCGGUUGACUGCAAGACCUACAAGUCGAGCAGGUGCGAAAGCAGGGUAAAGUGAUCCGGUGGUUCCGCGUGGAAGGGCCAUCGCUCAAAGGAUAAAAGGUACUCCGGGGAUAACAGGCUGAUCUCCCCCAAGAGUUCACAUCGACGGGGGG
Molecule: ribosomal RNA, 1401 nt
Filed under: metagenome
Description: bacterial LSU rRNA
Rfam family: Bacterial large subunit ribosomal RNA
Source: RNAcentral